Molecule: non-coding RNA, 2300 nt
Organism: Prunus avium (sweet cherry)
Lineage: Eukaryota; Viridiplantae; Streptophyta; Magnoliopsida; Rosales; Rosaceae
Source: RefSeq, a predicted model, not a curated record
AUGCUGUGCUUGACUCCUAGACAAGAAGAAGAGCUGAAGAACGUGGAGAAAAAAUCCACGGGUUCAAAACCCACGAAGCUGGCAGUUUCCACAAUUUCAGAACCCAUCACCACCAUGUUACUUAUAUUUUCUUCCUCCACUUUACUGGCACCCUUUUCUGCUUCAGAAAUUGAAAUCGCGAGUAACCGGAGUGUAAAAACUAGUCAGACCCAAAAACCUUCCUUUCUCAGUCCACACCACACCUGCUACCCUGUAACUAAAGAAAGCGGAAAUUGCUUCGAAAGAGAAAAAUACGGCAUAUGUUGUUAGCGCUGAAUGCUGAGGUUCGGAGGACCAAGGCUCGAUUGCUUGAGGAGGUUCCCAAGUUGCAGAGGUUGGCUGUAAAGCACCAAUGAAGAAAGCAUUUAGAUUUGAUGGGUUUGAUGUCAAUGGGAUUAAUGGAGAUGAUGUGGCUCAUAGAAUCAAAGCACGAUAUGUAAAAUGGAGGGUUUUGUUAAGCAUAUAAAAAACAGAUAAUUUCAUUGAUAAAGCCUGGGCAUGUGCACACACACAAACACAUGCAAAAAGUGGUAGGGAGGCAUAAAGUGCACGAGUCUAGCACCGUCAAGUUGAACCCAACAAGGCACUAAAUUCAUCCACAUCAAAUCCUCUUAGUCUUUUAGGUGACCAACCACCAGGUUAAAAAAGAAAUGCAUUUCUUGGAAGUGAAAAAAUACAAACGACACACCCUUUUGCUUUCAUCCAUAUCAGCAGUUGUUGCGGCUCUUAAUCCUUCAAAGAGGAGCAAUGUAUCUACAGCUGAGUUGAAGGGACUAAUUGGGAUCUUUGGCUCUCUGUCACACACACUUCUACUCCUUGGAAACUUAGACAUAGAGGGCGUAGCACAACUUUUUCUCAGUGCAGGACUUUCACCUCCCUUUGAACCCGCCAUCUUUCUCAAGAGUCCACCGCCAAACGAACUCCGAAUUCCGCCAUUCAAGCCUCCAUCUCUUCCCACUCGCCCCCUAAUUUGGAUAUUGUUAGCAAACUAAAACAAAUUAACAAAUUUCCUUUUCUCUCCAUCUUUGCUUUCGCUUACCUAAAUUGCAUUUGUUUUUUUGGCAUCCGCAUAUGGUUUCACUUUAGUUUCUAAUUUUUUAAAGCAUGAACAUGACCUGCUUGAAUGUCUAAUCAUGUUUUCCUUUGUACUUACUUGGAUUUCACUGUGCACUUCGUAUUAGUUUUUGGUUAAAUAAAUAUUCAGUUUAAGUUUCAUGCUUCAUGAUUUGUAAUGUUAGAAUUCUUUUGUAGUUACACUGUUAGAAUCCUGAAAUUUAAGUAUUUGCUUCAAGUUGGUUUGUUGGUUGUAUUUUGAGGCUAUGUAAUUAUGUGGUUGUUGUACUUCAUUCUAAUUACUGUUUAUAUAUAUUUAUUUUAGUAUGAAUCACAGUUAGACAGUCAUCCAAUUGCUUCAGGUAUGACUUAUGAAAAUUAAAAAGUUUUUCAAAUCUACAUGUCUCAUUGAAACUUUGGAAUUUUAUCUCAACAGAUUCUAUCGUCUCUCACCUCUCUGAUGUAUAAGCAAUCAUUGAAGCAAAGAAGCAAAGAUAACUUUCAGGAGAGCUUGGGUACGAAAUCCAAAUACAAGAAGCGGUCGUUCGCCCAAAUUGUCUAACCAUUCUUCGCUUUAAAGAAAGCGGAAAUUGCUUCGAAAGAGAAAAAUAGGGCAUAUGCUGUUGCGCUGAACGCUGAGAUUCGGAGGGCCAAGGCUCGAUUGCUUGAGGAGGUUCCCAAGUUGCAGAGGUUGGCUGUAAAGUUGGUAGGUGAGAACAUCUUUUUGGCCAUGACUGAUAUGAAACCCAAGCCAGGAAGGUGAACGGGGUGAAAGGGUUCUAAGAAGAGGAGGACCGCAUGUAUACAGAUUAUGCUAUGAUUUUUUUCCUUCUAUUUUUUUUUUCUCCUGGGAUUCCUUUGGUAGAGGAAUUAAAAGCAAAAUGAGGAUGAUAGAGAUGGAGGGAGUUCAAGUGGAGGAAAACUGCUAAAGGACUUACUGCCCGCGGCUGUGUUUCUUCUCUUUUUAGAGGUUUUCAAGGGGGGUUCAACUUCCCAAAGUGCAGGAGGCUUGCAGAGGAAUUGUUCAUGGUUUUAUUCCUUCUGAAUACAGAAUCAAAUGUUUGGGUUUGGGGUACAAAAUCGUGAUGUCUAACUAAUUCACCAAUCCUCUCAGGGGAUCCAUUUGCUACAUGAAUUAAAAUAGAGUCGGAGGGAGGAAAAGGGUGGAAAGGUUUUUCUGUGUUUUUUUUAAAAUUAUACUUCAAGUU